GAAAAAAGACAGAGAAUUGGGAUUUUUUUUUUUCUUCAUAGGGUUUUGGAAAGACUAAGGCAAUCGUUGCUGAAGUCAGUAUUGUACUGGUGAAUUGGGGUUUUAAUGAAGUGGAUGUGAUUACUCUUGACUGUUUUGUGAAAUCAAAGUUACGUCUAUGAUUGAAGAAUUAAAAGGGUGUCUAUAGGAUUGAGUAUGCGGAGUGAAUGAAAAUUAUUGGAUUAAUCUAAUAAGACAAUCAGUGGAUACAAG
Molecule: long non-coding RNA, 252 nt
Filed under: Physcomitrium patens
Lineage: Eukaryota; Viridiplantae; Streptophyta; Bryopsida; Funariales; Funariaceae
Description: long non-coding RNA (PPAT_LNC014281)
Source: RNAcentral